UACUCCUACGGGAGGCAGCAGUGAGGAAUAUUGGUCAAUGGGGGAAACCCUGAUGCAGCAACGCCGCGUGAGUGAAGAAGUAUUUCGGUAUGUAAAGCUCUAUCAGCAGGGAAGAUAGUGACGGUACCUGACUAAGAAGCACCGGCUAAAUACGUGCCAGCAGCCGCGGUAAU
This 173-nucleotide ribosomal RNA is filed under the name uncultured bacterium. RNAcentral's name for it is "partial 16S ribosomal RNA". It matches the Rfam family "Bacterial small subunit ribosomal RNA", at positions 334 to 524 of the family's 1533-position model. The record is from RNAcentral.